AUUCCAGCUCCAAUAGCGUAUAUUAAAGUUGUUGCAGUUAAAAAGCUCGUAGUUGGACUUCUGAUUCGAAAGAUCGGUCCGCCGCAAGGCGAGCACUGAUUCUUCGAGUCUUCCUCUCGUAGUUGUUUGGCGCACUUGAUUGGGUGCCAGAUGAAUAUGGGACCUUUACUUUGAAAAAAUUAGAGUGUUCAAAGCAGGCAAUCGCUUGAAUACAUUAGCAUGGAAUAAUAGAAUAGGACUUUGGUUCUAUUUUGUUGGUUUCUAGGGCCGAGGUAAUGAUUAAUAGGGACAGUUGGGGGCAUUAGUAUUUAAUUGUCAGAGGUGAAAUUCUUGGAUUUAUGAAAGACUAACAACUGCGAAAGCAUUUGCCAAGGAUGUUUUCAUUA
Molecule: ribosomal RNA, 386 nt
Filed under: Choanoflagellata sp.
Lineage: Eukaryota; Choanoflagellata
Description: partial small subunit ribosomal RNA
Rfam family: Eukaryotic small subunit ribosomal RNA
Source: RNAcentral